This 254-nucleotide ribosomal RNA is filed under the name uncultured bacterium. RNAcentral describes it as "partial 16S ribosomal RNA". It matches the Rfam family "Bacterial small subunit ribosomal RNA", at positions 524 to 776 of the family's 1533-position model. The record is from RNAcentral.
UACGUAGGGUGCGAGCGUUGUCCGGAAUUAUUGGGCGUAAAGAGCUCGUAGGCGGUGUGUCACGUCGGCCGUGAAAACCUGCAGCUUAACUGUGGGCGUGCGGUCGAUACGGGCAUCACUGGAGUUCGGCAGGGGAGACUGGAAUUCCGGGUGUAGUGGUGAAAUGCGUAGAGAUCCGGAGGAACACCAGUGGCGAAGGCGACACGCUGGGCCGUACCUGACGCUAAAGCGCGACAGCAUGGGGAGCAAACGGG